RNAcentral lists this ribosomal RNA (693 nucleotides) under uncultured beta proteobacterium. Its description in RNAcentral is "bacterial SSU rRNA". It matches the Rfam family "Bacterial small subunit ribosomal RNA", at positions 63 to 753 of the family's 1533-position model. The record is from RNAcentral. Lineage: Bacteria; Pseudomonadati; Pseudomonadota; Betaproteobacteria.
CGAACGGUAACAGGUCUUCGGAUGCUGACGAGUGGCGAACGGGUGAGUAAUACAUCGGAACGUGCCCGAGAGUGGGGGAUAACGAAGCGAAAGCUUUGCUAAUACCGCAUACGAUCUCAGGAUGAAAGCAGGGGACCGCAAGGCCUUGCGCUCACGGAGCGGCCGAUGGCAGAUUAGGUAGUUGGUGGGAUAAAAGCUUACCAAGCCGACGAUCUGUAGCUGGUCUGAGAGGACGACCAGCCACACUGGGACUGAGACACGGCCCAGACUCCUACGGGAGGCAGCAGUGGGGAAUUUUGGACAAUGGGCGCAAGCCUGAUCCAGCCAUGCCGCGUGCAGGAUGAAGGCCUUCGGGUUGUAAACUGCUUUUGUACGGAACGAAAAGACUCUGGUUAAUACCUGGGGUCCAUGACGGUACCGUAAGAAUAAGCACCGGCUAACUACGUGCCAGCAGCCGCGGUAAUACGUAGGGUGCGAGCGUUAAUCGGAAUUACUGGGCGUAAAGCGUGCGCAGGCGGUUAUGUAAGACAGAUGUGAAAUCCCCGGGCUCAACCUGGGAACUGCAUUUGUGACUGCAUAGCUAGAGUACGGCAGAGGGGGAUGGAAUUCCGCGUGUAGCAGUGAAAUGCGUAGAUAUGCGGAGGAACACCGAUGGCGAAGGCAAUCCCCUGGGCCUGUACUGACGCUCAUGCA